This 73-nucleotide transfer RNA is filed under the name Salmo salar (Atlantic salmon). It matches the Rfam family "tRNA". From Rfam's summary of the family: Transfer RNA (tRNA) molecules are approximately 80 nucleotides in length. Lineage: Eukaryota; Metazoa; Chordata; Actinopteri; Salmoniformes; Salmonidae. The record is from Rfam by way of RNAcentral.
UCCUGUGUGGCGCAGCUGGUAGAGCAUGGCACUUGCAAUGUCAGUGUUGUGGGUUCAAUUCCCACAGUGGGAC